AACGAUGUUCACUAGUCGUCGGAAUGCUAGUCAUUUCGGUGAUGCACUUAACAGAUUAAGUGAACCGCCUGGGGAGUACGGUCGCAAGAUUAAAACUCAAAGGAAUAGACGGGGACCCGCACAAGUGGUGGAGCAUGUGGUUUAAUUCGAAGAUACGCGAAGGACCUUACCUAGCCUUGACAUUGAUUGAAUUUUCCAGAGAUGGAGAAGUGCCUUUCGGGGAACAUGAAAACAGGUGCUGCACGGCUGUCGUCAGCUCGUGUCGUGAGAUGUUGGGUUAAGUCCCGCAACGAGCGCAACCCUCGUCCUUAGUUGCCAGCAGGUUAAGCUGGGCACUUUAAGGAGACUGCCUUCGCAAGGAGGAGGAAGGUGAGGACGACGUCAAGUCAUCAUGGCCCUUAUGGCUAGGGCUACACACGUGCUACAAUGGGGCGUACAGAGAGUUGCGAUACCGCGAGGUGGAGCCAAUCUCACAAAGCGUCUCUCAGUUCGGAUUGAAGUCUGCAACUCGACUUCAUGAAGCUGGAAUCACUAGUAAUCGUAGAUCAGCAAUGCUACGGUGAAUACGUUCCCGGGUCUUGUACUCACCGCCCGUCACACCAUGGGAGUUGAUUUCGCCCGAAAUUGGGAAGCUAACCUUCGGGAGGCUACCACUUACGGCGGAAUUAGCGAC
Molecule: ribosomal RNA, 673 nt
Filed under: uncultured Sulfurimonas sp.
Lineage: Bacteria; Pseudomonadati; Campylobacterota; Epsilonproteobacteria; Campylobacterales; Sulfurimonadaceae
Description: bacterial SSU rRNA
Rfam family: Bacterial small subunit ribosomal RNA
Source: RNAcentral